Calidris pugnax (ruff) is the source of this 2822-nucleotide long non-coding RNA. RefSeq lists it as uncharacterized. The transcript is spliced from 3 exons. NCBI's taxonomy places the organism in Eukaryota, Metazoa, Chordata, Aves, Charadriiformes, Scolopacidae. The record is from RefSeq and is a predicted model, not a curated record.
GGUAUGCACAUUGCUACCUUCUCUGCCCGCCUCCUGAGAAAGGGGGUGCAGCAGCCCAGGAGGACCGCCUGGCACACACGGCUACCUCGCUUCCAGACUACAAAUAGCGCUGGCUAAACAAAGAAUUUAGGAGCGGAAAUGACGCUCUGAAUUUUGUCGGAGACAUACUCCAGAGAGAAGGAAGACUGGCACACACACCCAAACAGAGCAACCACAUGCUUUCACAAGGGAAACCUGCAUCCCUUCUUACAGCAGGAAUGAUCUUAGAGAGGAAAGAACGACCUCUAGAUAUAAGUCGUCCUAAGAAAAAGAUACUUUUAAGUGCAGACAGAGGCACAGGGGUGGCAAGCAAUCUCCCCAGAGCUACACGAAGCCUGUGAUGGAAGCAGGAACGAUCGUUGAUCUCCUGAAUCAAAAGCCAAAUGCCUUAACCACAAAAUUAUCCUACUUUCAUUGCCUCAACCUGUCUGAAUCCAGAAGUACCAAAUUACUGGGGGAGGGAAGGAGGAAGGGAAGAAAACAGAACAUCUAUGGGGAAUAUUUCUGACCCAUCUAGAAGCAGAAACUGCUUAUAUUGGUGUAAGCCUCCUAUAUUGCAGUCCAAGGAAUUUGGGACAAGGGUAUGAACUCAAAAAUGUGGUCAAAAUACUCAGCUUUUUGAAAUUUAAGUGGGGCUGACAUAGACCUUCUAUUAAAUCAAGCAAAAAGCCUGGAGUGCUCAAGAGAUUAAAUAAUUCACACACUGCCUUUCCCUGGGGGUUCACAUCCAGCCCAGACCACAAGUGUCAUGUACAAUCACGUGUACUUUUGAUAGACUUUGAGAGGUAAGAGAAUGGACAAUCCCCAGAAGACAAAUGCUCACAUGGGACAAGUCCCUGGGGAGAAGCCUGGCGACAGUCCUAGGGGACAGUAAGUAAAACCGGUGGAGGGAAUGCUGCAGAGAAGUAGAAUCUUGGACCCCAGGGUACAGAUGUGAAUAAAUGAGGGGAUACGCUUUGGUUUGCCCUUGACAGUCUCAACUUCUGAUGACUCAGUGAAAUCCUGUCCCAAAUAAAUCACUUUUAUCCACAUGGAGAGGCAGGGUGUGCUUACAGUGGCUCCACGUGAAAAGCAUAAAGAUGCCAUUUGCACCAAACAUGCCAAAACAAGGAGUUGGUGAGAUGUCACAUAGGAUACACAACUCUGCACACCUUGUGAUUUGCUCAGGCUCUCAAACCGUCCUCACAAGCUGCCCACGGCUCCAGCCGGGGAAAAGCAGCAGAGGCCAGAGCUGGCGGAUGGCGCGGGGAGCUGGUGUGCACCCACCCAACCAGCCUGGGGACCUGAGCUGUUGAAACUUGCUACAAGCAGAAAACAGCAGCAAACUACACCUUGCUCUGUAGCGUGGGUGAAGCAUGGAGGGAGCAGAGCCUCCGGGGAGCCAUGCUACAAUCCAGUGCCUUCAGAGCUAACUCCUGCAAUAGCAUUUUCCAUGCAGUGCCCCUGCUUACGUAGCUCCAGGCUUGGCUUGAAGGUGCAAUCUGCUUCUUCACGCUAUUUCCACAGCCAUUUUCACUUGGAGUGCCUGCUGUUUCCUUUCAAAAAUUGCUGCAUCCCUAAGGUAUAAAGGGCAGAAAACUCUUCCAGCAAAGCCUUGGAGUCAGCAACAGAGAGGGGAAACUAAAUUAUUAAGGACCACAUCGAUGCAGAUUUUCUUUCUGUCUGGAGCAAAACUGAAAUCUCUUCUUUCUUCCCCCAUUGUGGCUAUGGUAAUAAUACACAUCUAUUCAUUAUCCUCAUCCUAACUAGAAAAGCUCCUUUCAAUUUAGCACUUAAUAUAAUUAUGGCAAAUUAAAUAGUGUCUAGAAAAAAAGUCUUACUUUUUCCGUGCUAUUAUCUUACCUCUAUGAAACUCUACCAGUUAAAAGUGAAUCUAGCUAUUAAACAAUAAGGGUUUGUAUCUAUUCAGUGAGCAGAAAAGUGAGAUGUUCAGCUGAAAAUUGUUCAAAUUCUAUUUCCAAAUUAAAUACCAUAUCUCCAAGGGAAAACAGGAGAAUCUCAUUAAUGAUGUUCCUUUCGCAUUGCGGAGACAGUACUUGAGCACCAAUUCUCUGUUCCUUUUCAUUCACUCCAAUGAAGUUUCCCUUUUUUCAUACAAGGAAAAUGAGCAUUUUACAAAAUAACAAAGCAAAUUAUUGCCUUUGUCUGCUUUCAGCAAAAGUUCUCUCCAGCUAGCAAUGCAUUGUUAACAUGAUUUCUCUGAGACAUACAUAGGAUAAAAAGCACUUGGCUGUUGUAAAUUCAACAGGAAAAUACACAGACUUCAAGGGGGUCAGGCUGUCAAACACAACACAGGAGAUCAAACUAAAGAGGCCAGGAGGAACCCAGGUAAAAAGCCAUGUGCAUUUACAUGCCAUCUAAUAAAUAUAUGAUGAUAAGUGUUAAGAACUUGGAAGAUCCAGUUCUGCAAACACUGACUCACACAAACAAGUCCCUAUUUAGAGCAAUCCCAUUGCAGUCAAAGUGAUUUCAUUUGUUAGGACAAAGCGCAGACACGGAUUUCAUACCUGUUCACAUCUGUACCAUGGAAGGAUGUGAAAAUCGGAAACAUAGAUCCUUUCUAGAAGGUCAGUCUGUUUAAAGCAAUUAAUUUCUAUACUGCUACUCAGCAAAUUAAUAAAAUAGACAAAGCAUCUACAAGAGAUAACCAAGAGAGGCUCUUGGUAAAUAGUCAUUCUACGUUCUCAUAAAUAAAUCAAACGCUGCCUUGGUAAUACUUGAACUGAUACUAGAAGCAUUAUUUUUAACAUAGUGUAAGCGUACCAGCCAUCAGGAAUAAAAUA